This is an RNA transcript of Daucus carota subsp. sativus, 1915 nucleotides long. RefSeq lists it as uncharacterized. Lineage: Eukaryota; Viridiplantae; Streptophyta; Magnoliopsida; Apiales; Apiaceae. The transcript is spliced from 5 exons. The record is from RefSeq and is a predicted model, not a curated record.
UGGAGCAGUAGAUAAAUUGUGAUUCUGUAACAUAACCAAAUUUUGCAUCUUGUUAUCUUUUAAGCACUUUUGAUACUUGAUAUUUCCUAUACGUCAUUAAUUUGUGUUAUUGUAUUUAUAAGUAUUCUGUUUUUUCUUGUUGAUGUUUUUUUUUGCUAAAUAUUUUUUUCUUGUUCAUGUUAGUAGAUAGCCAUAUUUUUAAUCUCUUAUGUAAAAUAGCCAGAGCAACUAUUUCUCAUAGGUAACAUUGUUCGUUUUAUUCAGUUCUCAACUCUUAAGUUGCUAUGUACAUCUACUAUAAUUACCUUUGUUACAAAACUCAUCUGAACCAUGUAAUGGGGAUAAUAUGUAGUUUAUACAACCUGUUCAACAAGAAAUUUUCAUAUAUGGUUGUUUCUUCCCCGCAAGAGGAGUCCACUCCAUAUUGAUGGUGUUGUCAAAUGACACACCACCCUCACAAUCAAAUGCAACUAAGAUCUCCUACCAUUCAAAACUGAAUCCAUAAAUGUACAGAAGACUCUGUUUUUAAGCAGAGCGAAUAAAAAUAUAGUACUUCACAUUUUAUCUCUGAUUUUAUCUUGUAUCUUUUGUGUUAUACUUCUGGUCAGGAAAUUAGCAGGACAAUUAGUCAGUCCUGACAGGCCGGGAGAUUUUAAUCAGGCUCUUUUGAAACUUGGUGCCACAGUAUGCAUUCUACAUAAUCCAAGCUGCUCCACAUGCCCGGUCUCAGGUCAAUGUCGUGCGCUGCCAGUAUCAAGACAUGAUAGAUCAAUAUCUGUCAAGGAUUAUCCACCAAAAGUUUUCAAGGCCAAUGGCAUGAAUUUUCUGCCGUCACUGUUGUGAAAAUAAUAGAAGAUGAAGCCCUGAUGGAUCAACCACAAUGUAAUAGUAUAUUCCUUCUUAUAAAGAGGCCAGAUAAAGGUUUACUUGGCCUUUGGUAGUUUCCAUCUGUUCCACUAAUUGGCAAGGCAGACUUGGUCACAAAGAAAGAUGCAAUCGACUAAUAUUUGAAGUCAUUUGAUCUCGAAUCUGGAAGUACAUGUGAAGUAAUUUUUAGAAAAGAUGUAGGAAAAUAUAUACAUGUGUUCAGUCACAUACGUCUCAAGAUGUAUAUAGAGUUGCUGGUUCUACAUCUAAAAAGGUUCUACCAAGAGGCAGGAAGUGUGUGAAUCUGGAAAAAGAGAACAUGGAAAAAAAGUAUGUUAAUAGCAAGGACGUCGCAAGCCUAGGACUAACAUCUGGAGUGAGGAAGGAUACACAAAUGGAGCUAAUGGAGAUAUUGCAUGUGAUGAGUAUCACAAACACAAGGAAGAUGUCCAUCUGAUUUCAGAGACAGGCCUAGGGGCAUAUAGGUUCUCUAUUUCAUGGUCAAGACUUUAUUCUGAGUAUAGAUCAGUAAAAAGUGCAUAUUACCGCGAAGCAGUGCGAGCAAUGGUAGUAUAUGACAUGACAAAGCGGCUUUCAUUUGAUCACAUACCUGGAUGGCUCGACGAACUAAGGGUGCAUGCUGACAAGAAUAUUGUAAUUAUGCUCAUUGGCAACAAAUCUGACGUGGGAAGUCUUGGAGCAAUACCAACUGAGGAUGAUCAGAAACUCACAGAGAAGGAAAAACUAUGCUCUAUGGAGACAUCAUCCCUGUGAGGCAACUAACGUCGAGACUGCCUUUCUGACAGUUUUAACAUAAAUAUACAAUAUCACAGGCAAAAAGACCCUCACUGCUAGUGAUGUGGAUUAUGCAAAGUCUUCAACUCUCAAGGGAACCAGUAUAGUCAUUCGUGGCCAGGAGCGGAAUACUAGUGCAAGUAGUGGUGGUUGUUGCGCAUAAAUCUUUAUCUUUUUCCUUUAAGGUCUUGUUUUUUACUUAGGAAUAUAAGUAUGUUAGGUUAGGAUAUUACUGUUCAAAUGGAAAUUUUAA